GACGAACGCUGGCGGCGUGCUUAACACAUGCAAGUCGAACGGAAAGGCCCUGCUUUUGUCGCGUGCUCGUGUGGCGAAAGUGUGACUAACACGGGCGUCACCUGCCCUUGCUUUUGGGAUAAUUUCAGGACACUGGGCCUAUUACCGUCUGGGAGCUCCCGCUGCACGGUGUGGGUUGGUGAGGUUCGGCGGUUGGGUAUGUGCUCGCUGCUGAUUUGCUUGUUGUUGGGGUGUUGGCAUACGACGGCUUUGACGGGUAGCCGGCCUGAGAGGGUGACCGGCCACACUGGGAAUGAGAAACGGCACAGACUCCAACGGGAGGCAGCAGUGGGGAAGAUUGAACAAUGGGCGGAAGCCUGAUGCAGCAACGCCGCGUGCGGGAUGACGGCCUUCGGGUUGUAAACCGCUUUCCGCUGUAACGUAGCGUGAGUGACGGUAAUGGUUGAAGAAGCGCCGGAUAACUACGUG
Molecule: ribosomal RNA, 468 nt
Filed under: uncultured bacterium
Lineage: Bacteria
Description: partial 16S ribosomal RNA
Rfam family: Bacterial small subunit ribosomal RNA
Source: RNAcentral